GGUCACAUCAUGUUGAAACACCGGUCCUCGUGCGAUCACCGAAGUUAAGCAACGUUUAUCUUGGUCAGUACCUAGAUUGGUAACCGCUUGGGAAUAUCAAGUGCUGUCAG
Non-coding RNA from Acanthosepion pharaonis, 110 nucleotides. NCBI's taxonomy places the organism in Eukaryota, Metazoa, Mollusca, Cephalopoda, Sepiida, Sepiidae. The record is from the annotation of a GenBank genome assembly.